Long non-coding RNA from Anolis carolinensis (green anole), 2202 nucleotides. RefSeq lists it as uncharacterized. The transcript is spliced from 3 exons. The record is from RefSeq and is a predicted model, not a curated record. NCBI's taxonomy places the organism in Eukaryota, Metazoa, Chordata, Lepidosauria, Squamata, Anolidae.
GGUGGUCGUUUUACCUACAGCCAAAUCAUGGAGCUUCACGCCACUUGGCUCAAGGGAGAUGCCGUUUGUUUGUUUUUUUAAAUAGUUUCAGAAGCGAACGGAGGGUACAAGUUAUAUUGUAUUUGAAAACACAAAGUAAAAAAAAAACAACUUAGCAUGAUACUAAAUGCCCUUAGACCAGUAGCUGGCCACUUGGAGUGCCUCAGAUGUUGCUGUAAGAAGGUCCUCCAUUGUGCAUGUGGCAGGACUCAGACUGCAUUGUAGUAGGUGGUCUGUGGUUUGAUCUUCUCCAUACUCACAUGUCGUGGACCCCAUUUCUUAAGGUUGGCUCUGCAUCUUGUGAUGCCAGAGCGCAGUCUGUUCAGCGCCUUCCAAGUCUCCCAGUCUUCUGUGUGCCCAGGAGGGAGUCUCAUCUGGCGUCAACCACUGAUUAAGGUUCUGGGUUUUAGCCUGCCACUUUUGGACUCUUGCUUGCUGAGGUGUUCCUGUGCUUGCUGCUAAGCUGGCCUCCAAACUACACCUGAAAAGACUACCCAGAAUAUGUAGGAAUUCUGCAGAAUGAAGAAUUUUAAAAGAUGACAGCAAUGUCUGCCAACUCCUGCUAAGAAAGAAGUUCCCCCAAUGGUGUCAGCCUCCACUUCCUUGGGCUCAAAGAGGCCACUAUUACAAGGAGUUAUAUAUUCAUGGAAAUCUGACUUCUGUGCCUGUAUCUUCUGAUUCCAGAGGGUGAGUAUAGCACAUCCUCGUUUCUUAUAUUUUCUACUUCUAGUACACAAGCAGUUAAUGCAAACUGCAUAAAAGUCAUCUUAAAUGGAUAUUAGUUCUAAUCUUUGUUUUACAAAGCUUUGCAAAGGCUUCACCCAGAAGUUACUGGAAAUGUUUAUGUUGUGACUGCACCUUCGGGGACUGUGGAUGAUGGUGGUGGGAUCAGGAGAGGAAGGAAAAACCCUCGCGAGGAGGGCUCGUUGGAGGAUUUGUACAGAAAGAGAAUUAGGGACCUCAAUGGGGAGUCUUCUGAGGAAGAUUCAGAUGGGGAGUUUGUGGAAGAAAUGGAUGCUGGUGAACAGGUGGUGGCUGAGGAAGUGGGCACUGACUGGGCACGGGCACCGGAGAUGCCUGGGGAAUUGGGGCCCAUGGAUACUGCUGAACCUUGGGUAUCUUCAGAAGCAGAUCCCACUUGGUCUGUUUGGAGGAGGGAGGAUGGAUCCUCAGGUGUGCAUGGUGUUGGGUGUAGGCAGGAUGAUUGGAAUUCAGAUGAAGAAUUAGGCACGCCCGAUGCACGAGCUCUAGCUGUGUGGAGUUCUGACUCUGAUUAAGGAUUUGGGACACCUGCUCUUUGGGUGUUGGUGUUUGGACACCCAGGGAGAAUUGGGAUAAAUUGGGAGUGUUUGGUCACUUCACUUUGUGUGUGGCAAGGUGUUUCUGGGCGCCAUUGGGAUUCCUGUACGUGUUUAAGAAGACUGGACUGGGACUUUGCUUCAGAUGUAAGUUUAUCUGGGUUGCUCUGCAACGGAGGGCUGGAACUGUGUGGGUUUUCCUGGACUGCACUGUUAUUACUAUUUUUAGCUGCUGUUGCCUUCGUUGCCUUGGCUCUUUGUGCCAAUUCGUGGACCUAGAAUUGAUGACUACAGCCUCUGGACCCUGGACUGGAAUUCGACCCUGUUUCUGCCUUUGCUCUCUGAUUAGUCUACCCACGGCUCUUGACUUCUGGCUUGCCUCCUGACCCUGCUGCUGUCUCCUGUCCUGACCCUGGAUCAAUCUGACGACAUCUCUUCGCCUUGUCCCUUCAGCUUCUGGCAUUACCUGCACUGUUGAAGCAGUUUGCUGCUGUUCCUGCUAUUUCAACUCCGGACCGAGUUUAUUUACAGGCUCUUUUGCCUGGUUUUUAUUUCUGUUUGGAGCUUUGUGUUUAAACUGCUAGCUUGUGACUCUUGGGAGUUUUUUGGGGCGUUUCCAAGUCUCUGUUUUGUUUUGGUUGUUUUUCCAAGCGAACUUAGUUUGUUUAGAGCUGAAUUGAAGCACCUUUUUGUUUUAUCUGGAUUAUUUGCUUGGAAAAUCCGGUUUGGUUGCUAAAGCAUACUUUUUGAUAUAUUUUUGUUUGGACUGCUUUAAAAUACUGAAAGUUAAGUGUUUAAAGCCAUCUUUUGUGUUUGUGUCUAAUUUUUGGGCUAUCUCUUGAAUAAACUCUGUUUUGCUCUCAAA